This 253-nucleotide ribosomal RNA is filed under the name uncultured bacterium. RNAcentral describes it as "partial 16S ribosomal RNA". It matches the Rfam family "Bacterial small subunit ribosomal RNA", at positions 524 to 776 of the family's 1533-position model. The record is from RNAcentral.
GACGUAGGGCGCAAGCGUUGUCCGGAAUUAUUGGGCGUAAAGAGCGCGUAGGCGGUCCGGUAAGUCAGCUGUGAAAGUCAAGGGCUCAACCCUUGAAAGCCGGCUGAUACUGCCGGACUAGAGUCCGGAAGAGGCGAGUGGAAUUCCCGGUGUAGCGGUGAAAUGCGCAGAUAUCGGGAGGAACACCAAUGGCGAAGGCAGCUCGCUGGGACGGUACUGACGCUGAGACGCGAAAGCGUGGGGAGCAAACAGG